This 382-nucleotide ribosomal RNA is filed under the name uncultured marine Chaetocerotaceae. RNAcentral's name for it is "SSU rRNA". It matches the Rfam family "Eukaryotic small subunit ribosomal RNA", at positions 587 to 972 of the family's 1831-position model. The record is from RNAcentral. Lineage: Eukaryota; Bacillariophyta; Thalassiosirophyceae; Chaetocerotales; Chaetocerotaceae.
AGCUUCAGUAGCGUAUAUUAAAGUUGUUGCAGUUAAAAAGCUCGUAGUCGCAUUUCUGGCGAGAGGAUCCGGUCCGACCUUUUGGUGGGUUCUUGGGUCUCUUUCGCCAUCCUUGAGUGGUCCGUUCUGGCAUUAGGUUGUCGGAGCGUCAGCCGCUCAUCGUUUACUGUGAGAAAAUUAGAGUGUUCAAAGCAGGCUUAUGCCGUUGAAUAUAUUAGCAUGGAAUAAUAAGAUAGGACCUCGGUACUAUUUUGUUGGUUUGCGCACCAAGGUAAUGAUGAACAGGGACAGUUGGGGGUAUUUGUAUUUCGUUGUCAGAGGUGAAAUUCUUAGAUUUACGAAAGACAAACUACUGCGAAAGCAUUUGCCAAGAAUGUUUUCA